RNAcentral lists this transfer RNA (72 nucleotides) under Candidatus Pacearchaeota archaeon. Its description in RNAcentral is "tRNA-Gly". It matches the Rfam family "tRNA". From Rfam's summary of the family: Transfer RNA (tRNA) molecules are approximately 80 nucleotides in length. The record is from RNAcentral. Lineage: Archaea; Nanobdellati.
GCGUCGAUGAUCUAACGGUUAUGAUCGCGGCUUCCCAAGCCGCUUAUCCGGGUUCGAUUCCCGGUCGACGCA